GGGAAUAUAGCUCUGUGGUAGUGCACUUGCCUUUCCUGCAUGAGGCCCUGGCUUCAACCCCCAGUACUGCCA
RNAcentral lists this transfer RNA (72 nucleotides) under Cavia porcellus (domestic guinea pig). It matches the Rfam family "tRNA". Rfam says of the family: Transfer RNA (tRNA) molecules are approximately 80 nucleotides in length. Their secondary structure includes four short double-helical elements and three loops (D, anti-codon, and T loops). Lineage: Eukaryota; Metazoa; Chordata; Mammalia; Rodentia; Caviidae. The record is from Rfam by way of RNAcentral.